Molecule: ribosomal RNA, 482 nt
Filed under: uncultured bacterium
Lineage: Bacteria
Description: partial 16S ribosomal RNA
Rfam family: Bacterial small subunit ribosomal RNA
Source: RNAcentral
AUUGAACGCUGGCGGCAUGCCUUACACAUGCAAAUCGAACGGUAACGGGCCUUCGGGUGCCGACGAGUGGCGAACGGGUGAGUAAUACAUCGGAACGUGCCCGAUCGUGGGGGAUAACGAGGCGAAAGCUUUGCUAAUACCGCAUACGAUCUACGGAUGAAAGCAGGUGACCGCAAGGCCUUGCGCGGGCGGAGCGGCCGAUGGCAGAUUAGGUAGUUGGUGGGAUAAAAGCUUACCAAGCCGACGAUCUGUAGCUGGUCUGAGAGGAUGAUCAGCCACACUGGGACUGAGACACGGCCCAGACUCCUACGGGAGGCAGCAGUGGGGAAUUUUGGACAAUGGGCGCAAGCCUGAUCCAGCCAUGCCGCGUGCAGGAUGAAGGCCUUCGGGUUGUAAACUGAUUUUGUACGGAACGAAAAGCCUUCUUUUAAUACAGGAGGUUCAUGACGGUACCGUAAGAAUAAGCACCGGCUAACUACGUG